Podarcis lilfordi (Lilford's wall lizard) is the source of this 87-nucleotide non-coding RNA. NCBI's taxonomy places the organism in Eukaryota, Metazoa, Chordata, Lepidosauria, Squamata, Lacertidae. The record is from the annotation of a GenBank genome assembly.
AUACACACACACACACACACACAAUAUACAUAUAUAUACACACAUACACAUAUAAACACACAUAUAUGUGUGUGUAUGUGUGUGUAU